AGAGUUUGAUCAUGGCUCAGAUUGAACGCUGGCGGCAGGCCUAACACAUGCAAGUCGAGCGGUAGCACAGAGAGCUUGCUCUCGGGUGACGAGCGGCGGACGGGUGAGUAAUGUCUGGGAAACUGCCUGAUGGAGGGGGAUAACUACUGGAAACGGUAGCUAAUACCGCAUAAUGUCGCAAGACCAAAGUGGGGGACCUUCGGGCCUCAUGCCAUCAGAUGUGCCCAGAUGGGAUUAGCUAGUAGGUGGGGUAACGGCUCACCUAGGCGACGAUCCCUAGCUGGUCUGAGAGGAUGACCAGCCACACUGGAACUGAGACACGGUCCAGACUCCUACGGGAGGCAGCAGUGGGGAAUAUUGCACAAUGGGCGCAAGCCUGAUGCAGCCAUGCCGCGUGUGUGAAGAAGGCCUUCGGGUUGUAAAGCACUUUCAGCGGGGAGGAAGGCGUUAAGGUUAAUAACCUUGGCGAUUGACGUUACCCGCAGAAGAAGCACCGGCUAACUCCGUGCCAGCAGCCGCGGUAAUACGGAGGGUGCAAGCGUUAAUCGGAAUUACUGGGCGUAAAGCGCACGCAGGCGGUCUGUCAAGUCGGAUGUGAAAUCCCCGGGCUCAACCUGGGAACUGCAUUCGAAACUGGCAGGCUAGAGUCUUGUAGAGGGGGGUAGAAUUCCAGGUGUAGCGGUGAAAUGCGUAGAGAUCUGGAGGAAUACCGGUGGCGAAGGCGGCCCCCUGGACAAAGACUGACGCUCAGGUGCGAAAGCGUGGGGAGCAAACAGGAUUAGAUACCCUGGUAGUCCACGCCGUAAACGAUGUCGAUUUGGAGGUUGUGCCCUUGAGGCGUGGCUUCCGGAGCUAACGCGUUAAAUCGACCGCCUGGGGAGUACGGCCGCAAGGUUAAAACUCAAAUGAAUUGACGGGGGCCCGCACAAGCGGUGGAGCAUGUGGUUUAAUUCGAUGCAACGCGAAGAACCUUACCUGGUCUUGACAUCCACAGAACUUAGCAGAGAUGCUUUGGU
Molecule: ribosomal RNA, 1016 nt
Filed under: Klebsiella pneumoniae CHS 44
Lineage: Bacteria; Pseudomonadati; Pseudomonadota; Gammaproteobacteria; Enterobacterales; Enterobacteriaceae
Description: bacterial SSU rRNA
Rfam family: Bacterial small subunit ribosomal RNA
Source: RNAcentral